Molecule: ribosomal RNA, 366 nt
Filed under: Triticum aestivum (bread wheat)
Lineage: Eukaryota; Viridiplantae; Streptophyta; Magnoliopsida; Poales; Poaceae
Description: partial small subunit ribosomal RNA
Source: RNAcentral
AUGUCAAGAGAGGACGGGGUGGACCCGAAGAACUGGAGUAGGCAUCUUGAUCAAGAAGAGCCUCAAAUAUGGAGUGGUAGACGUCAAGAAACGUGUGGACCGGAUUAUCUUGGUCAAGCUGGUAGUUGGGACUUAGUUCUCAAUGUUAUCAGCGUGUAUGCCCCGCAAGUAGGCCACAAUGAGAAAACCGAGAGGGAGUUCUGGGAAGGCCUGGAGGACAUGGUUAGGAGUGUACUGAUUGGCGAGAAGAUCUUCAUAGGAGAAUACCUCAAUGGCCACAUGGGUACACAUCUAACACAUGUUUUGAAGGGGUGCAUGGGGGCUUUGGCUAUCGCAUCAGGAAUCAAGAAGGAGAAGAUAUCUUAA